UACGGAGGGUGCGAGCGUUGUUCGGAAUCAUUGGGCGUAAAGCGCGUGUAGGCGGUUCGUUAAGUCUGGUGUGAAAGCCCCGGGCUCAACCCGGGAAGUGCAUCGGAAACUGGCGAACUUGAGUGCGGGAGAGGAAAGUGGAAUUCCGAGUGUAGGGGUGAAAUCCGUAGAUAUUCGGAGGAACACCAGUGGCGAAGGCGGCUUUCUGGACCGACACUGACGCUGAGACGCGAAAGCGUGGGGAGCAAACAGGAUUAGAUACCCUGGUAGUCCACGCCGUAAACGAUGGGUACUAGGUGUCGCGGGUAUUGACCCCUGCGGUGCCGAAGCUAACGCAUUAAGUACCCCGCCUGGGGAGUACGGCCGCAAGGCUAAA
Molecule: ribosomal RNA, 376 nt
Filed under: uncultured bacterium
Lineage: Bacteria
Description: bacterial SSU rRNA
Rfam family: Bacterial small subunit ribosomal RNA
Source: RNAcentral